GGGUUUCACGGUGUUAGCCAGGAUGGUCUCGAUCUCCUGACCUCGUGAUCCGCCCGCCUUGGCCUCCCAAAGUGCUGGGAUUACAGGCUUGAGCCACCACGCCCUGCCAGCUCACGCUUGUAAAUCCCAGCACUUUGGGAGGCCAAGGCGGGUGGAUCACCUGAGAUCAGGAGUUCGAGACCAGCCUGACCAACAUGGUGAAACUCCAUCUCUACUAAAAACACAAAAAUUUGCUGGGCGUGGUGGCAGGCACCUGUAGUCCCAGCUACUCCGGAGGCUGAGGCAGGAGCAUCACUUGAACCCGAGAGGUGGAGGUUGCAGUGAGCCAAGAUCGCACCAUUACACUCCAGCCUGGG
Molecule: long non-coding RNA, 356 nt
Filed under: Homo sapiens (human)
Lineage: Eukaryota; Metazoa; Chordata; Mammalia; Primates; Hominidae
Description: non-protein coding lnc-DNAAF1-3:1
Source: RNAcentral